GAUGAAGAACGCAGCGAAAUGCGAUACGUAAUGUGAAUUGCAGAAUUCAGUGAAUCAUCGAGUCUUUGAACGCACAUUGCGCCCCCUGGUAUUCCGGGGGGCAUGCCUGUCCGAGCGUCAUUGCUGCCCUCAAGCACGGCUUGUGUGUUGGGCCUCCGUCCUCCUCCCGGGGGACGGGCCCGAAAGGCAGCGGCGGCACCGCGUCCGGUCCUCGAGCGUAUGGGGCUUCGUCACCCGCUCUUGUAGGCCCGGCCGGCGCUCGCCGACACAUCAAUCUUUUUUCCAGGUUGACCUCGGAUCAGGUAGGGAUACCCGCUGAACUUAAGCAUAUCAAUAAGCGGAGGA
RNAcentral lists this unclassified non-coding RNA (345 nucleotides) under soil metagenome. RNAcentral describes it as "partial contains 5.8S ribosomal RNA, internal transcribed spacer 2, and large subunit ribosomal RNA". The stretch from base 1 to 120 matches the Rfam family "5.8S ribosomal RNA", at positions 35 to 154 of the family's 154-position model. The record is from RNAcentral.